Molecule: long non-coding RNA, 207 nt
Filed under: Malus domestica (apple)
Lineage: Eukaryota; Viridiplantae; Streptophyta; Magnoliopsida; Rosales; Rosaceae
Description: long non-coding RNA (MDOM_LNC020696)
Source: RNAcentral
AACCUAAACCUUCCAACGUUUGCCUCAGGGAUUUCCAAUGCACAUGACAUGUUAAAAAUCAUCACUCCCACAGAUUUUAGUCAUCUUCACACUUAAGCACAUACUUAAUCAUAGUCACCACGUACUAGUUCACAUUUAACCAAUUAAAACAAUGCUUUGAAUGUAGUAACAUGCCUUAGAGAAUUCCCUCAAUUCCUUACAAGAUAU